GGGCCGGAAAGGAACUUAACCCAUCGUUGCUGGGGGCUGUCGCUCCUUACCGGGCCGUCGCGCCUUACAAAGAGGAAUGAUUGUUGGUUUUUUUUUUUUUUAAUGAAUGGAGGGCGGCGGCAAGCAGCAGCUGCAGCUGGAUCAGCUGCGCGUGCUGUACCCCACCCGGCCUGGGAAAGAAGGGGAACCUGGCAGAGCUGGAUGUCCCUGCCUGUUGUUGUGGCUGUUACUGAUGGAUGAUGCAGAUGAUGAAGAUUUCACUUCAAGUCUCAACACGGUGUUCCAGCAUGGGAUGCAGCAAGGUUAUCAAGCUCUUAUUUUCUCUCACUCCUACCCUCCCUCCAUUUAAAGGGAAAAAAGGACUCCAAGGGUCCAUGAACAAUCAAGCAAACAGAUUCACACAUUGGCCAAGUCCAAUCUCUAUCUAGAUCCAUCACCUCCCAAACUCUGUCUCAUUAAAAAAAAAAAAUUCCUAUCAUUCAUUCACUCUCUUCUUUAGCAAGAAUGUAUUAAGUUUAUACUAGGUGCCAGGCACUGUGAUAGCCUGGGGGAUACAAAUUAAAAAAGAAAAAAAAGCAGGUCUUAUCCACAAGGAGUUUAUAGUGUACACAGUGUGUGUGUACACAGAAAAAUAAAUAUAAAAUAAUAUGAGGAGGGUCUUGACA
This 665-nucleotide long non-coding RNA is filed under the name Monodelphis domestica (gray short-tailed opossum). RNAcentral describes it as "lncRNA (ENSMODG00000044516.1)". Lineage: Eukaryota; Metazoa; Chordata; Mammalia; Didelphimorphia; Didelphidae. The record is from RNAcentral.